Molecule: non-coding RNA, 74 nt
Organism: Trichonephila clavipes
Lineage: Eukaryota; Metazoa; Arthropoda; Arachnida; Araneae; Nephilidae
Source: the annotation of a GenBank genome assembly
GCCAGUAUAGCUCAGUGGCAGAGCACUGAUCUUUGUAACCAGGGUCGUAGGAGUUCAAAUCCUCACUGGUGGCU